Molecule: long non-coding RNA, 717 nt
Filed under: Homo sapiens (human)
Lineage: Eukaryota; Metazoa; Chordata; Mammalia; Primates; Hominidae
Description: non-protein coding lnc-PSMD14-1:1
Source: RNAcentral
UCACCCCCAGCUCUCGGGGAGUCUCCUGUGUCUCCCAGCUACUCUCCAAACAACCCCAGAUUUCAGCUGGAGUCAGCCCUCCACACCCAGGAAUCACCUACAAACUCACGAGCCUCACGGUGCUCCUCCCCUAUGUCUUUCAACUCUUCACCCCCAGGCCUCAGGGACUCUCCUGUGUCUCCCAGCUUCUCUCCAGCCUUCCCCAGAUUUCUGCCACAGUCAGCCCCAGGCACACAGGGGAACCCUGGACACUCACAGGCCUCACGAGACUAUCUCCCUAUGACCUGUAUCUAUACAGGGAUGGCUCCCACGCAUCCCUCAGUGACCCCAAACCCAUCUCCACUUACACUCAGACACUCCCAGGGCCUGACAGCUACUCCCCGUUAUUGUCCUUCAGUUCGAAGCCCUGGCCAAUCUACCAGCCAACAUGAUGCAGCUACCUGGCCAUUUCUCCACAUUUCUGGUGAGGGCCCCACACCCAGCCGCAGAAAAGCCCCUCCUGCAUUCCAUCCUCACACACAGGCCUGUCCAUCCACUUGCUACUGUCACACUCUUGCCAGCAGAAGAGGCCCCUGUAAUGGCCGAUAUCACCGCCCAGUCUAUCCUCACCCCACAGCUAUGCAGCGGGACCCUCCUGCUGGCCCACGUGGCUGCCAGAGCCCAUGCUGGCACUACACUCCAGCAUGUCGGCGUCCCUGCGGGCCACACUACCGGUGA